RNAcentral lists this ribosomal RNA (454 nucleotides) under uncultured Prevotella sp. Its description in RNAcentral is "partial 16S ribosomal RNA". It matches the Rfam family "Bacterial small subunit ribosomal RNA", at positions 341 to 792 of the family's 1533-position model. Lineage: Bacteria; Pseudomonadati; Bacteroidota; Bacteroidia; Bacteroidales; Prevotellaceae. The record is from RNAcentral.
ACGGGAGGCAGCAGUGAGGAAUAUUGGUCAAUGGACGAGAGUCUGAACCAGCCAAGUAGCGUGCAGGAUGACGGCCCUAUGGGUUGUAAACUGCUUUUGUACGGGAAUAAAGUGACCUACGUGUAGGUUUUUGCAUGUACCGUAAGAAUAAGGACCGGCUAAUUCCGUGCCAGCAGCCGCGGUAAUACGGAAGGUCCGGGCGUUAUCCGGAUUUAUUGGGUUUAAAGGGAGCGUAGGCCGGGUUUUAAGCAUGUUGUGAAAUGUAGAUGCUCAACAUCUGCACUGCAGCGUGAACUGGAGCCCUUGAGUGCGCAGGAAGUAGGCGGAAUUCGUCGUGUAGCGGUGAAAUGCUUAGAUAUGACGAAGAACUCCGAUUGCGAAGGCAGCUUACUGUAGCGUAACUGACGCUGAAGCUCGAAAGUGUGGGUAUCGAACAGGAUUAGAUACCCUGGUA